This 601-nucleotide long non-coding RNA is filed under the name Phoenix dactylifera (date palm). RNAcentral describes it as "long non-coding RNA (PDAC_LNC003550)". Lineage: Eukaryota; Viridiplantae; Streptophyta; Magnoliopsida; Arecales; Arecaceae. The record is from RNAcentral.
UUUUCAAAAGAGUAACAAUUAAUAUUAUAUGUUAUUAAUUAUAACAUGGCACAGAAUGCCAAACACGUAGAGCACAAGAAACUACAUCCAAAUACUGGAGGAAAAGGAUGAAAGACACUAAGUUAGAAAAAAUCCAAUAAAGUUUAGAUACAUCAUUCGAGUUUUAUUCGCCUUCAUUGUUUGUUGAUGGUGAGUGACUAAUACGACAACGAAAAAUUGAAUUACAGCCACGAUGAUAGGGCUUUGAAGGUUUUGGUAGUGUCUGCUUGGAUUGGGAAAUGCUAAGCAUAUGCUGCGAUUUGAACAAAUCUUUAUUGGGUAGCCCUUUAGCCAUCUUCUCGUGCACUGCCUCCACAAAAUAAUAGUUGUUAAGUAGCAAAAACCAAAUCAUUGCAAGCUCUACCAACCUCCACUUCAUCUUCACUUGUGCCAUGUCUCUCAAGCACUCAUAAAUCUCCAUCUAUCUUGGUGGCAAUAAGAGUUCUCUAGAACAGCAUGUUACUCGAUGUAGAUCAUAUGCACAAGCCUAGGAUUCAAAACAAACACCAAGAAAAAAAGCAAGGAAGAAGAAUUUUUCAGAAAGAAGAAAAAUUUCUUUGUU